GUAAUCAAUUGGGCACAUCAACAUUUAUCGAUAUAAAUUAGAGACGAUAUCGAUAUGGCGUCAUAAAUAAGCUCUGACAUUUUACAUAUCUCAAUGAGAAAAGGCGUCUGGACUUGUAAGAGCGCAAAGCUCUCGCUCUAGCAUUAACCGCUCUUUGCCUUAUUGACAUUGACCUUGAGCAAGAAGAGUGCGGCAAGUGUCUGUUCCUGGUCGCAGUUGGACCCAGCGUGUGGCCCGAGAUGGCGUUCGAGCAAAGUUAAACAACACUUUGUUUUCUUUCGAGCCCGGUUUGUGUAUUUAUAUACUUAGCCGAUAAGGUAACAUAUCAAAUCAUGUUCACAAUCCAAACACGAUAAUAGUUGGACUUUAUUUCACAUAAGACUCAAGUGUGUUAGGCGCCUGCGCAUUGCCGGAGCCAAACACGCCACCAAAGUCGGGAAUGGGAUUGGGAAUGGGAAUGGGAAUGCGAAUGGGCAGUUAUCAACAUUCGACUUUGCUCUAUCAGCUGUUUUAGAAAAUGUGCGAGAAUCAAUAAAUUGAGUCCAGCACCCACACGAAUUUCUGACUGUACGAUUUGUGGGCCUGUGUCCAUGUCAACAUUGGCCCAUUAUCAUUCGUUAACAAUACCGUAUUUGUUCAUUAUAUGAAUAAGCGUAAAACUCUGUUCGGACUGCUGAAUCAAUGGAAAGUUUUCCGAACAAUCGCCGGGCUAGCAAGUGCUCCAUUUAAUUAAUGCAAGUGUUUCCAUAAAUAUCCCAGAGCCGGAGAAAUUUCGAGAACAUCUGCGUCUGGUUGCCACAAUUUCAGUGUGAAGGUGUGCUCUACUAAAAUAAUAUUCGCUGGCAGAUAUAAUGUACGAAAAUCUCCAAUAUGUUGAAGCUUGACAUCGCCCCCUAGCCAUAAAGCUGAGAAAUACUUUAUUUCCGACUGACCUUUGCUAUAAUAUAUUAAAACUCCGAUCUGAUAUGGGAACUGCCUCUAACAUAAGAUCCUGGCUAUAUCAACUGCGUAGAUGAUACUGAUCAGGAAUAUAUACACAUACUUAAUGAUGUAUUGAAAGCUUGGAGCCUCUAACCUCAAUAGCACCCAAAAAUUUCGUGCAGGCCCGUCUUGCUCCAGGGCAGGGUAUAUUGCUUUACGCUUUACUUUUGAAAAUUUAGUUUCAUUCAAGACUUUUCCAACUACUUAAAUUGACCCUGAACCGCCUCAUCCUUCUCAGCUAGUCAACAUUUCCCUUAAGCUCUUUCAGUUCUUAUGCAACUGUUGCAUUCCAUUUUUGGAAGAGUUCGCUUUCGGCUUAAAUCAAUAACAGGUCUGAUUUGGCGGAAUGGAGGUUUGUCCAGGCCGGCGACUCACCUGCAGUGUGCCCGAGGCAGUGCGAUUCACAUGCGACGUUUGGUAUUCGUAGUCCGUCUCAAUAAACUUAUCGUCCACGUGCACCUUGGGCGAGAUGACUUCCAGUGUUGAAUUUUUGGUUGGCUUCAUUUUCGAUAUGCGUACUUGUACUUUUUGAGAAAUGUUUAUUCGUUUAUUUCGCACUUGUUACUUGUGUAUCGUUCACACUUUUGUUUAUAAUUUAGCGUGUGGUUUGUUUUGUUACAAGCAAUUUGCUGCACACUAUUUGCCGUUUCGGUCAAAGGUCUGAGUUUAGGUCUGGUCAAAGCAAGAGUUCGCUGCUUAAUGAGCAUAAGUGGGAGAUGCGGCCCGCUUUUAUUUACCGCAGCGGCGCGUUUUUUUUUGUUUUUUGUUUCUCUAUUGACUCUUAAUUCUGACAAGAGAACCGCUAUUUGCCGGCUUCGUCGCCAACACAGAGAGCCACAAGCCAAAGAGAGCACGCAAAGGGCGCAUGCAAGUGUAUGUAUGCACACAUUACGUGGGUGUGCUUUGUGCAUGUGUGUGCGCAUGUUUUUGUGUGUGUGUGUGUAAGCCUCAGUGGAAACGAGCAAGUAGUUGUGGCUUGAGAUCGCCGCAUUAGGGUGUACAAAACUAUGGCUAAUUAAUGCUACAAAAUACAUGGAUGCUCUACUCGGGAGUCAACGACUAGCGGAUACCUUGACCAUGACAGAGCUGUAGUCAUAUACACAUAUACAUCCUAUUCAUACAUAUGUAAGUACAUGUACACAAAUACGCACAUACACAGGCUCACAAGCUCUCAUGACGCUUUCCCCCCAGCUUACGCUGUGGCGGCGCUUUCCUAUCCCUUGGCCCCGCAGUAUGGGAAAUGCGUUCCUCAAUAACUUUGGUGUUUUCUUCUGGCCCUCUUCUAGGACUAUAAGGAAAGGCAUUCAUCUAUUUUUGGACGAAAUUAUUGCAAGCGAACAUAUUCUCAUACAAAAUAUACGUAAAUAAGUGGUUGAUGCUCAAGCCAAUUAUACUUGGGAUCCGGGUCUACCUCAACAAUUUUUAAAAAUUUUAUUUUUAUUUUAUUUUUAUUUAUAAUUAAUUAAUUUAUAAUUGGUUCGGUUCAUAGUCAAGAUCCACAUAAAGUAUUACAAUAGUACAAAACCUAUUGCCCGACUUCGAAUGCAGGAAAAACUAUCUAUCAUAUUUGACAUAGACCUGUUAACGCUCGGAAUGGGCAGAGCUGGUCGGAGUGUUUGCGCAUCUGAACAGCAAAUCAGACAACAAGUGAACACCUAAUUAUCUUAUUUCCGUGACGCUUCUGCAGCCUCGAGAGCGGAGCUCUCCGUCCAUCACUGUGGAUGCUCAGUUGUUGUGGCUUACUGGAACUUUCCACUGUUGCAGUCAAUUGAAUGCAAGCUGCGCUCAAAUUACAAUUUGUUUAUCAAUAUAAACGGGUUGGGCUCCGAAGCGAGGCAUGGGAUUCUUCUGGAAAUUGCAUAAUUGCGUAUUGGCUAGCUCCAGCUCUGUAAAAUUUCCAUGAAAACUUUUCCAUUAGAGCCUGAAACCAAAUAUUUAUCGAAUCUAAGACUAACUCGGAUGAAGAGUCAGAAGCGAUGCCUGAUCUCAAAGUAAAAGCAAGCCUUUGAUAUUGUACAAAUUGAAGAAUAUUAUGCAUUUUGAUAAACAAAAAUAUAAAAACAACAACGAAUUCAAUUUAAAUGCUUAAGGUAAAUAGAUGUACAAGCUAACAAGA
Long non-coding RNA from Drosophila virilis, 3097 nucleotides. RefSeq lists it as uncharacterized. Lineage: Eukaryota; Metazoa; Arthropoda; Insecta; Diptera; Drosophilidae. The record is from RefSeq and is a predicted model, not a curated record.